CGCGUAGGCGGCCUUCUAAGUCGAACGUGAAAUCCCCGGGCUCAACCCGGGAACUGCGUCCGAUACUGGAGGGCUUGAAUCCGGGAGAGGGAUGCGGAAUUCCAGGUGUAGCGGUGAAAUGCGUAGAUAUCUGGAGGAACACCGGUGGCGAAGGCGGCAUCCUGGACCGGCAUUGACGCUGAGGCGCGAAAGCCAGGGGAGCAAACG
This 207-nucleotide ribosomal RNA is filed under the name uncultured bacterium. Its description in RNAcentral is "partial 16S ribosomal RNA". It matches the Rfam family "Bacterial small subunit ribosomal RNA", at positions 568 to 774 of the family's 1533-position model. The record is from RNAcentral.